GACGAACGCUGGCGGCGUGCCUAACACAUGCAAGUCGAACGGAGUUGCCCUUCGGGACAACUUAGUGGCGAACGGGUGAGUAACGCGUGAGGAACCUGCCUUUCAGUGGGGGACAACAGUUGGAAACGACUGCUAAUACCGCAUAAUGUCAUCGAGCGGCAUCGCUUGAUGACCAAAGAUUUAUUGCUGAAAGAUGGCCUCGCGUCUGAUUAGCUAGUUGGUGGGGUAACGGCCCACCAAGGCGACGAUCAGUAGCCGGUCUGAGAGGAUGAACGGCCACAUUGGGACUGAGAUACGGCCCAGACUCCUACGGGAGGCAGCAGUGGGGAAUAUUGGGCAAUGGGGGAAACCCUGACCCAGCAACGCCGCGUGAAGGAAGAAGGCCUUCGGGUUGUAAACUUCUUUUACCAGGGACGAAGAACGUGACGGUACCUGGAGAAAAGACAACGG
Molecule: ribosomal RNA, 450 nt
Filed under: uncultured bacterium
Lineage: Bacteria
Description: bacterial SSU rRNA
Rfam family: Bacterial small subunit ribosomal RNA
Source: RNAcentral